Molecule: non-coding RNA, 83 nt
Organism: Dendroctonus ponderosae (mountain pine beetle)
Lineage: Eukaryota; Metazoa; Arthropoda; Insecta; Coleoptera; Curculionidae
Source: Rfam
AUUUUUUGAAUGAUGACUGCAUAGUUCAGAUGAACAACUGAUUACAACCCUUCAUUGUCUUUCGCUCCUAUCUGACCAUUUUU